Molecule: ribosomal RNA, 635 nt
Filed under: Escherichia coli
Lineage: Bacteria; Pseudomonadati; Pseudomonadota; Gammaproteobacteria; Enterobacterales; Enterobacteriaceae
Description: partial 23S ribosomal RNA
Rfam family: Bacterial large subunit ribosomal RNA
Source: RNAcentral
CUGGAGGUAUCAGAAGUGCGAAUGCUGACAUAAGUAACGAUAAAGCGGGUGAAAAGCCCGCUCGCCGGAAGACCAAGGGUUCCUGUCCAACGUUAAUCGGGGCAGGGUGAGUCGACCCCUAAGGCGAGGCCGAAAGGCGUAGUCGAUGGGAAACAGGUUAAUAUUCCUGUACUUGGUGUUACUGCGAAGGGGGGACGGAGAAGGCUAUGUUGGCCGGGCGACGGUUGUCCCGGUUUAAGCGUGUAGGCUGGUUUUCCAGGCAAAUCCGGAAAAUCAAGGCUGAGGCGUGAUGACGAGGCACUACGGUGCUGAAGCAACAAAUGCCCUGCUUCCAGGAAAAGCCUCUAAGCAUCAGGUAACAUCAAAUCGUACCCCAAACCGACACAGGUGGUCAGGUAGAGAAUACCAAGGCGCUUGAGAGAACUCGGGUGAAGGAACUAGGCAAAAUGGUGCCGUAACUUCGGGAGAAGGCACGCUGAUAUGUAGGUGAAGCGACUUGCUCGUGGAGCUGAAAUCAGUCGAAGAUACCAGCUGGCUGCAACUGUUUAUUAAAAACACAGCACUGUGCAAACACGAAAGUGGACGUAUACGGUGUGACGCCUGCCCGGUGCCGGAAGGUUAAUUGAUGGGGUCAG